UCACCUAACAGUUAUUGAUAACACGAAUAAACAUCAAUGCAUGGAUAACUCUUUGCCCAGAUGCUUCUCUAAGCAUAUUGCAGCUACUUGUCUCUAAGUCAUAUGGGCUCACCUAAUAGUUAUUGUCCGUACUCCUUAAUUAAGUCAAACCCAUCGUUCACAAACAGGUGCAAAGCCGUCAUUGAGUCCCUCACCUAAUAGUUAUUGAGCCC
RNAcentral lists this long non-coding RNA (212 nucleotides) under Elaeis guineensis (African oil palm). RNAcentral's name for it is "long non-coding RNA (EGUI_LNC003454)". Lineage: Eukaryota; Viridiplantae; Streptophyta; Magnoliopsida; Arecales; Arecaceae. The record is from RNAcentral.